GGGGGGGGCAGCCCUAUCGGCGAUGCCUUCAGCAGGAAAAACAACCCGACAAACCCCGAUGUCGGGAUGUGUGCCCGGCAGAGGGCAGUGCCACCCGCCCGGCACAUCGCUGCCAUCUGCAGCCACCUCCGAGCCCCAUCCCAACCUUUCACCAUGCGAAAGACCAGGGAUGCUGCCGGCCCGACGUCUGGCUUUUCUUUUUUUCUUUUUUUUACGUUACUUUCUCUAUUUCUCAUGGUUUUUUUUUUCCACGCUCUUCAAAGCCGGGGUUUGUUUGUUUGUUUUUCAAAAGCAAGGGUUCCAAUCCCAGCAUCUGUGAGAAACCUUACAGGAAAUAACCCGUGUGCGCAGAAGUGCUCCAGUGUUCCACGCCGUGGCAAUGUUUGUCUUUCCCCUCCGUAUAACAACGCAGAUGGCACGCAAGGCCAUUGCUCGCUGCGUCCUGCCAGCAAAGAGAGCUUUGGGGUAGAGAUUCUCAUCUCCUUUUCACGCCGUGGAUGGAUUAUACCCUGAAAUAGCUCCUCUUCCAUGUGAUGUUGUGCUGUGUGAAGCAGGUAACUUCAUUUUCCUACGCCUUUGGGCAUUCCAGCAAUGCUGCGCCGAGUCCAACGCACACAGAGAUGGAAUUACGGUGCUGGAUGUGGCUGAGGUUGCUCUGCUGUGCUGCUUAAGGGAGGAGAAGCCCUUCAGCCGUGCUCCUUGUGAUGCAGCAUCGAGGCCAUGUGAGAACUACCCAGACCUUCCAGCUGACAGGUGAGGACUGAAGUAGUUGCAUCCAUCCAGCAUAGGUGCGACACGAGCUGCCACAAAGCUGAUCUGCUUUGCUCGGGGUGGUGCUGUGCCCUGCCUGCUGGCUAGCCAGGACCUCUCGGUGUCCUGCGGUGGAAUGAAUGAUACAUCACGCUCCUCUGGGCUUCCAAGGGCUUCGUGCAAAGCUGCUGCCGAUCUGAGGGAAGGCUCCCAGUUCACACGCUGCACUUCAGGUUAGAGAUUGCCUUAACGUGGUGUUCUCAGCACGGGUUAGAGACGCCCAUGGAGGCAAUGAAGCCACCAGAGGGCUCGGUGUCGUCACGCAGGCUGCCUGGCCCCCUACUCAGCGCAAUGCAAACCCUUCCUAAGGGACCGAGAGCGCUUCCUCUGCGUCUCCCUUCCUCCGAGGGACAAUACCGGGCAUGGCAGGAAAAGGAAGUCCGCGUGGUUCCCAUUGCACGACGGGUUGCUUGCAAGCAAAGAACAGGGGGAGGCUCUGGCACUUCCAAGGACCCUCUCGCAGCUGGAGCCGCACAGAAGCGGGGCUGCACGAUGUGGGGCGUUAUGCGACCCCAGUGGGCUUCUGCCUGCUGCUGGCCCUGCGUUUCGACGGCACCCCAACGAAUGCGGUUUGACG
This 1387-nucleotide long non-coding RNA is filed under the name Gallus gallus (chicken). RNAcentral's name for it is "lncRNA (ENSGALG00010010342.1)". The record is from RNAcentral. Lineage: Eukaryota; Metazoa; Chordata; Aves; Galliformes; Phasianidae.